UCCUGCUGUCGAGCAGAGCCUGGAUCUUCCAUUCCUGUGGUCCCCGGACAAUGGCGUAUAUUGGAGCAACCCCACAAAGAAAGGACCACAGAGGACUCAGAUCCUAUAGGAAUAAGGCCGAAACCACGCUCCAGAUGUCUUGCUGCAAACAGCGAGGGAACGCUGCAUCAAUCAAGGACCCCAUGAAUGCCAACUUGGGCCUUAAUUAUUAAUACGUUUUUGUGCGUGUCUGCACCACUGGAGAUAAGGAUUUUCCCUGGAGAAGGUCAGGCCUGAGGCGUGGAUGGCAGGUGAUCUGGAGUGUGGUGGACGUUGCAGUUAACUCCUGCAGACCCGCUGCCCCUCUGAACCCCAUUCUCCCUGCCCUGUCAUGCCAAAAUGACCUAAGUGGACUCCCGGUGGCUCCUGGGCACUGUCUUCUUGUUCAGCUUGGCUAAUGAGAGACUUCAGGAGGAGCUGAGAGGAUGGAAAAGAACAAGAUUGGAUUACAUAUUAUCCCAGUCUGUCCUGUGCUGGCUUGCUGCAGACUGACCGCAGCUAUCAUCAAAGGCAAUACUUCCUGCCAGGGAGCCAAGGGAACGGUGUCAAAUGCACUGGCUUUAUUAUGAUAUGCUUAUCACUUAAUUAUUCUCUCUAUCCUAGUAUAAAAUGUUCUCUCCCCCUCUCUCAAGAUUCGCUUAUUUCUUAUUUUAUGUGUAUGGGUGUUUGCCUGCAUGUGUG
Non-coding RNA from Myodes glareolus (Bank vole), 720 nucleotides. Lineage: Eukaryota; Metazoa; Chordata; Mammalia; Rodentia; Cricetidae. The record is from RefSeq and is a predicted model, not a curated record.